Molecule: non-coding RNA, 113 nt
Organism: Acanthosepion pharaonis
Lineage: Eukaryota; Metazoa; Mollusca; Cephalopoda; Sepiida; Sepiidae
Source: the annotation of a GenBank genome assembly
UUACGGACAUAUCACGUUGAAACACCGGUUCCCGUACGAUGACUGAAGUUAAGCAAUGUCGAGCCUUGUCAUUAUCUAGAGAGGUGACCACUUGUGAAUACCAGAUGCUGUAA